AUGAGUCAGCAGCCCCAGUGGCAAACAGGACCAAGAGAUUCCAUCACUUCUAGAAACAGGUACCCCAGCAGAGAGAGAAAGGGCAGGGCGCGUAAGAUUGUGUGCGGCAGAGGACAGCCUAGACCCAGCUUGGGUCCCUCAGUUCCUGGUUCUGUGUGGAGGAGGCAGGUACCUAGCCUGCUGACUGUGCUGAGAAGGGCCCUGGGCCAACCCUUGGCUCUUCUCAGGGAGAGGAGAGGUCAUGGACAGCCUGGCUUAUCCUCAGAUGACCUCUUCCUUCUCUACCGCUGAGGACACAAACAUUCAAGCCUGCCUCCUAUCGUAAGCAGGUGGCACGUACCUGCCUCUUCUCGGAGGAUGGACGAGUCGAACCGGGCACAAGCAUGGAGCUGCGGAUGAGUCCUGGCUGGUACUGGCGCGGCGCAGCGAGCAGUGGCUGACGCAGAGGGCUCCCUGGCCUCGCUCGGUGCCUGCCCGCCUCUCCCCCACCUCCGCCGGGGGCCCAGAAAGGACCUCCCCGGGAAAUCGGCGCCACCCAGCGGGCAGCCGCCUCAUUGCGCCCGGGCCGGGAAAGCCCCACCCCGCGUUCGCGUCACUGAUAUACGUCACGGCUAUUGGCUUGUUUCUAAUUGUGGCGUCAAUAUAGCCCCGCCCGGCGUGAGUCUCCCAGGCAACCAGUAUAUACAGAGAACCACGUGGAGCAAAAGCACGCCUGUUUGGAGCCGGUGGCGCAAGGAAAGAAGUGGACUGGAAUGUGACAGGUCCGGGCAGCUGGAAGGUCACGUCACGGGGAAAGGCAGCAUACCAGCUUUCAGAUUUUAGGGAAGGCUUAAGGUUACUGUACACUUUC
Molecule: long non-coding RNA, 850 nt
Organism: Arvicola amphibius (Eurasian water vole)
Lineage: Eukaryota; Metazoa; Chordata; Mammalia; Rodentia; Cricetidae
Exons: 3
Source: RefSeq, a predicted model, not a curated record